RNAcentral lists this ribosomal RNA (466 nucleotides) under uncultured bacterium. RNAcentral describes it as "bacterial SSU rRNA". It matches the Rfam family "Bacterial small subunit ribosomal RNA", at positions 28 to 507 of the family's 1533-position model. The record is from RNAcentral.
GACGAACGCUGGCGGCGUGCCUGACACAUGCAAGUCGGACGGUUCUUGCACCUUCAAGCUUGCUUGCUGGUGCAGGGAUAGUGGCGGAACGGGUGAGUAACGCGUGAACAUCUACCCAUUGGAGGGGGACAACCCGUCGAAAGGCGGGCUAAUACCGCGUAAGCCGUGAGGUGAGAGGCUGCCUAUUGGUGGCCGCCGAUGGAUGGGUUCGCGUCCUAUCAGCUGGUUGGUGGGUAACGGCCUACCAAGGCGAAGACGGGUAGCCGGUCUGAGAGGAUGGCCGGCCACACUGGAACUGAGACACGGUCCAGACUCCUACGGGAGGCAGCAGUGGGGAAUAUUGGGCAAUGGGGGUAACCCUGACCCAGCGACGCCGCGUGAGGGACGAAGGUUUUCGGAUUGUAAAGCUCUGUCUUCCGGGACGAUAAUGACGGUACCGGAGGAGGAAGCCACGGCUAACUACGUG